Molecule: ribosomal RNA, 490 nt
Filed under: uncultured bacterium
Lineage: Bacteria
Description: partial 16S ribosomal RNA
Rfam family: Bacterial small subunit ribosomal RNA
Source: RNAcentral
GAUGAACGCUAGCUACAGGCUUAACACAUGCAAGUCGCGGGGCAGCAUGGGGGUUGCUUGCUAUCUCCGAAGGCGACCGGUGCACGGGUGAGUAACGCCUAUCCACCCUGCCCUACACCACGGGAUAACCCGGCGAAAGUCGGACUAAUACCGUAUGCUCUCCAUUGAUGGCAUCCGAUGUUGACGAAAGGGGUGGCGGCGGAGGCCGGUGAUGCGGCUGAUUAGCUGGAGGGCGGGGAGACGGCCCACGGUGGCGUCGAUCGGUAGGGGUUCCGAGAGGAAGGUCCCUCACACUGGAACUGGGACACGGUCCAGACUCCUACGGGAGGCAGCAGUGAGGAAUAUUGGUCAAUGGGCGUAAGCCUGAACCAGCCAAGUAGCGUGCAGGAUGACGGCCUUAUGGGUUGUAAACUGCUUUUAGGCGGGGAUAAAGUGGCCCACGUGUGGGUUUUUGCAGGUACCGCAUGAAUAAGGACCGGCUAAUUCCGUG